Molecule: ribosomal RNA, 506 nt
Filed under: uncultured bacterium
Lineage: Bacteria
Description: partial 16S ribosomal RNA
Rfam family: Bacterial small subunit ribosomal RNA
Source: RNAcentral
GAUGAACGCUAGCUACAGGCUUAACACAUGCAAGUCGAGGGGUAACGAGAGGAAAGCUUGCUUUCCUUGUCGACGACCGGCGCACGGGUGAGUAACGCGUAUCCAACCUGCCCCCAACUAGGGAAUAACCUUGCGAAAGUAAGACUAAUACCCUAUAAUUUCCUCAGAUGUCAUCUGACGAGGAAUAAAGAUUUAUCGGUUGUGGAUGGGGAUGCGUCUGAUUAGCUUGUUGGCGGGGCAACGGCCCACCAAGGCAACGAUCAGUAGGGGUUCUGAGAGGAAGGUCCCCCACAUUGGAACUGAGACACGGUCCAAACUCCUACGGGAGGCAGCAGUGAGGAAUAUUGGUCAAUGGGCGGAAGCCUGAACCAGCCAAGUAGCGUGCAGGAUGACGGCCCUAUGGGUUGUAAACUGCUUUUAUACAGGAAUAAAGUUAGCCACGUGUGGUUAUUUGUAGGUACUGUAUGAAUAAGGACCGGCUAAUUCCGUGCCAGCAGCCGCUGUAA